Molecule: non-coding RNA, 180 nt
Organism: Pelobates cultripes (western spadefoot toad)
Lineage: Eukaryota; Metazoa; Chordata; Amphibia; Anura; Pelobatidae
Source: the annotation of a GenBank genome assembly
CACUGACCCUUUAGCCUGCUUCCUUGAGCUUCUGGCAAAGAUAUCUCUAAUGAGACAGAGAGGGGUAUUUUUUUUUAAUAUACACCCCUAUAUACUUAUUAACCCUUAAUAGAGAACACACUGUCUCAUUAGAGAUAUCUUUUGCCAGAAGCUCAAGGAAGCAGGCUGAAGGGUCAGUGU